This 253-nucleotide ribosomal RNA is filed under the name uncultured bacterium. RNAcentral describes it as "partial 16S ribosomal RNA". It matches the Rfam family "Bacterial small subunit ribosomal RNA", at positions 524 to 776 of the family's 1533-position model. The record is from RNAcentral.
UACGUAGGGUGCAAGCGUUGUCCGGAAUUAUUGGGCGUAAAGAGCUCGUAGGCGGUCAGUCGCGUCUGCUGUGAAAACUCGGGGCUUAACUCCGGGCCUGCAGUGGGUACGGGCUGACUAGAGUGCGGUAGGGGAGACUGGAAUUCCUGGUGUAGCGGUGAAAUGCGCAGAUAUCAGGAGGAACGCCGAUGGCGAAGGCAGUGUUCUGGGCCAGUACUGACGCUGAGGAGCGAAAGCGUGGGGAGCAAACAGG